GUUAUAUGGUCAAGUGAAGAAGCGCAUACGGUGGAUGCCUUGGCAGUCAGAGGCGAUGAAAGACGUGGUAGCCUGCGAAAAGCUUCGGGGAGUCGGCAAACAGACUGUGAUCCGGAGAUGUCUGAAUGGGGGAACCCAGCCAUCAUAAGAUGGUUAUCUUGUACUGAAUACAUAGGUGCAAGAGGCGAACCAGGGGAACUGAAACAUCUAAGUACCCUGAGGAAAAGAAAUCAACCGAGAUUCCCUUAGUAGUGGCGAGCGAACGGGGACCAGCCCUUAAGUUGUAUUGAGAUUAGCGGAACGUUCUGGAAAGGACGGCCAUAGUGGGUGAUAGCCCUGUACGCGAAAAUCCCUUUGCAAUGAAAUCGAGUAGGACGGGGCACGAGAAACCUUGUCUGAAUAUGGGGGGACCAUCCUCCAAGGCUAAAUACUACUGACUGACCGAUAGUGAACCAGUACCGUGAGGGAAAGGCGAAAAGAACCGCGGAGAGCGGAGUGAAAUAGAUCCUGAAACCGUAUGCGUACAAGCAGUGGGAGCCCACUUUGUUGGGUGACUGCGUACCUUUUGUAUAAUGGGUCAGCGACUUAUUUUCAGUGGCGAGCUUAACCGAAUAGGGGAGGCGUAGCGAAAGCGAGUCUUAAUAGGGCGUCUAGUCGCUGGGAAUAGACCCGAAACCGGGCGAUCUAUCCAUGGGCAGGUUGAAGGUUGGGUAACACUAACUGGAGGACCGAACCGACUACCGUUGAAAAGUUAGCGGAUGACCUGUGGAUCGGAGUGAAAGGCUAAUCAAGCUCGGAGAUAGCUGGUUCUCCUCGAAAGCUAUUUAGGUAGCGCCUCAUGUAUCACUGUAGGGGGUAGAGCACUGUUUCGGCUAGGGGGUCAUCCCGACUUACCAAACCGAUGCAAACUCCGAAUACCUACAAGUGCCGAGCAUGGGAGACACACGGCGGGUGCUAACGUCCGUCGUGAAAAGGGAAACAACCCAGACCGUCAGCUAAGGUCCCAAAGUCAUGGUUAAGUGGGAAACGAUGUGGGAAGGCUUAGACAGCUAGGAGGUUGGCUUAGAAGCAGCCACCCUUUAAAGAAAGCGUAAUAGCUCACUAGUCGAGUCGGCCUGCGCGGAAGAUGUAACGGGGCUCAAACCAUGCACCGAAGCUACGGGUAUCAUCUUAUGAUGAUGCGGUAGAGGAGCGUUCUGUAAGCCUGUGAAGGUGAGUUGAGAAGCUUGCUGGAGGUAUCAGAAGUGCGAAUGCUGACAUGAGUAACGACAAUGGGUGUGAAAAACACCCACGCCGAAAGACCAAGGUUUCCUGCGCAACGUUAAUCGACGCAGGGUUAGUCGGUCCCUAAGGCGAGGCUGAAAAGCGUAGUCGAUGGAAAACAGGUUAAUAUUCCUGUACUUCUGGUUAUUGCGAUGGAGGGACGGAGAAGGCUAGGCCAGCCUGGCGUUGGUAGUCCAGGUUUAAGGUGGUAGGCUGAGAUCUUAGGUAAAUCCGGGAUCUUAAGGCCGAGAGCUGAUGACGAGUGUUCUUUUAGAACAUGAAGUGGUUGAUGCCAUGCUUCCAAGAAAAGCUUCUAAGCUUCAGGUAACCAGGAACCGUACCCCAAACCGACACAGGUGGUUGGGUAGAGAAUACCAAGGCGCUUGAGAGAACUCGGGUGAAGGAACUAGGCAAAAUGGCACCGUAACUUCGGGAGAAGGUGCGCCGGUGAGGGUGAAGCAUUUACUGCGUAAGCCCACGCCGGUCGAAGAUACCAGGCCGCUGCGACUGUUUAUUAAAAACACAGCACUCUGCAAACACGAAAGUGGACGUAUAGGGUGUGACGCCUGCCCGGUGCCGGAAGGUUAAUUGAUGGGGUUAGCGCAAGCGAAGCUCUUGAUCGAAGCCCCGGUAAACGGCGGCCGUAACUAUAACGGUCCUAAGGUAGCGAAAUUCCUUGUCGGGUAAGUUCCGACCUGCACGAAUGGCGUAACGAUGGCGGCGCUGUCUCCACCCGAGACUCAGUGAAAUUGAAAUCGCUGUGAAGAUGCAGUGUAUCCGCGGCUAGACGGAAAGACCCCGUGAACCUUUACUAUAGCUUUGCACUGGACUUUGAAUUUGCUUGUGUAGGAUAGGUGGGAGGCUUUGAAGCGUGGACGCCAGUCUGCGUGGAGCCAACCUUGAAAUACCACCCUGGCAACUUUGAGGUUCUAACUCAGGUCCGUUAUCCGGAUCGAGGACAGUGUAUGGUGGGUAGUUUGACUGGGGCGGUCUCCUCCUAAAGAGUAACGGAGGAGUACGAAGGUGCGCUCAGACCGGUCGGAAAUCGGUCGUAGAGUAUAAAGGCAAAAGCGCGCUUGACUGCGAGACAGACACGUCGAGCAGGUACGAAAGUAGGUCUUAGUGAUCCGGUGGUUCUGUAUGGAAGGGCCAUCGCUCAACGGAUAAAAGGUACUCCGGGGAUAACAGGCUGAUACCGCCCAAGAGUUCAUAUCGACGGCGGUGUUUGGCACCUCGAUGUCGGCUCAUCACAUCCUGGGGCUGAAGCCGGUCCCAAGGGUAUGGCUGUUCGCCAUUUAAAGUGGUACGCGAGCUGGGUUUAGAACGUCGUGAGACAGUUCGGUCCCUAUCUGCCGUGGACGUUUGAGAUUUGAGAGGGGCUGCUCCUAGUACGAGAGGACCGGAGUGGACGAACCUCUGGUGUUCCGGUUGUCACGCCAGUGGCAUUGCCGGGUAGCUAUGUUCGGAAAAGAUAACCGCUGAAAGCAUCUAAGCGGGAAACUUGCCUCAAGAUGAGAUCUCACUGGAACCUUGAGUUCCCUGAAGGGCCGUCGAAGACUACGACGUUGAUAGGUUGGGUGUGUAAGCGCUGUGAGGCGUUGAGCUAACCAAUACUAAUUGCCCGUGAGGCUUGACCAUAUAACACCCAAGCAAUU
Molecule: ribosomal RNA, 2918 nt
Filed under: Pseudomonas syringae
Lineage: Bacteria; Pseudomonadati; Pseudomonadota; Gammaproteobacteria; Pseudomonadales; Pseudomonadaceae
Description: 23S ribosomal RNA
Rfam family: Bacterial large subunit ribosomal RNA
Source: RNAcentral